This 63-nucleotide transfer RNA is filed under the name Atkinsoniella zizhongi. Its description in RNAcentral is "Atkinsoniella sp. 1 YJ-2022a tRNA-Val". Lineage: Eukaryota; Metazoa; Arthropoda; Insecta; Hemiptera; Cicadellidae. The record is from RNAcentral.
CAAAUAGUAGCUUAUAUGAAAGCUUAUUAUUUACAUUAAUAGGAAAACUUAUGUUUUAUUUGA